GAAAAGAAACCAAUAGUAGAAGAAUCAGUAUCCGGGAAGGAAAAGUGUAGUGCAAGUUCAUUGGGGCAGAAAAUUCCAAACAAACAAAAGGAACUUGGAACGGUAACAGUACCAUGAACAAUUAAAGAAAGAACCUUCAAAAGGGUACUAAUUGAUUUUGGAGCUAGUCUGAGUCUGAUGCCAUUAUCAAUCUAUCACAGGUUGGGUAUUAAAAAUAUCAGUGAUACAAAAAU
Molecule: long non-coding RNA, 233 nt
Filed under: Lathyrus oleraceus (garden pea)
Lineage: Eukaryota; Viridiplantae; Streptophyta; Magnoliopsida; Fabales; Fabaceae
Description: Pisum sativum (pea) long non-coding RNA (PSAT_LNC013245)
Source: RNAcentral